UUGUUAACCAGCACCCCAGGUGGUUCCCAUGCAGGUGACCGAAGUCCACCCUUGAGGAAGCAUUAACCCAACCCUGUGCGGCACAGAGGGUAUUUCAGGCACUGGAUUGGUCUGGACCCCAAGCAACCGGUUUCUGGCGAUCAGUUAGGGCUCUGGCUGCAGCUGGGAGCGGAUUGGGGCGGAGGGAGGCAGAGGGCGGUAAUAAAGAAACAACAGGAAGCUCUGCUUUUAUUAGCCCUGGGUAGUAGCAGCUGCAGGUGAGAAACAGAUUAGAUCAAGGCUAUCCAGUUGCAGAGCCCACGAGCUGAGCCAUGCACUGUGGUUCUGCUGGAGCAGAUGAGAUGUAUGAGUUCCCUGCAAACCCUCCUGUUUGUCUCAAGAGUGGGAGCCAUGAAAAGCACCCCAAGAGUAGGGGGGAGACUUCAUGGGAGCAGCCCUCAGAGAGACCCAGAAGAUGCUCCUGUGCUCCUACCCAGAAAUUCAGUCUCUUAAGGACCUUAGAGACAGUUUCAUUCAUGCAUUAGUGAGGAGCGAUGCCUACAACUUGCAAAUGGAGAAACUGAGUUCAGAAAGGAGGGAGUGACUUGUCCAAGGUCACACCACAAGCUGGUGGUAGAAAUCCCUCCAGAAUGCAGGCAUCCCAACAUCUGGUUUUGUCCAUUUCUCCAUUCCCCUGACUCCUCACAAAUGACUUGUCCCCUUGUCCCCAGCAUGGUGAUCUCUACCGGUCCUGAGCAUUUAAUAUGGGCCAGACUCUUCGCCUUACUCUGACUCUCCAAGCCACCCUAUGAAGUGGUAUCCAAAGGCAACUUACUUACUUAAAUACAUGGCUUAUUGAUAGUAUGUUACAAAACACAUAAAAUAAUAAUUGAUGUAUCUGCAUUUCAUGACCACCCUAUAAAUUGCACAAUUCCUAUUUUACAGAUGAGAAAAUUAAGGCUCAGAGAUGGGAAAAGACUGUCUCAGGGACACACAGCGAGCAAGCAACAGGGUGAGGAUUAGUAUCCAGGCAUCUCUGACUCCAAAGCAGGGGUGUCUUGUCCACACCCCAAGCUGCUGUCAGGGAACAGAUGGGAGAGCCUGCAAGGGGAGGUGAGAGGAAGGUGCUGAGCCCCAGUCAUGAGCGAGGUGACAGUUAUUGUAGUGGCUAAACAGGUGGCCCCUGAGAUCAGGCUGCCUGGGCUGGAAUCCUGGUCUACCACUCCUUAGCACUGUGCGUUCAGGCAAACCAUUGGUCCGCUCUGAGCCUUGACUUCCUUAUCUGUAAAAUGGGCGUGGUAAUAAUAUGCCACCCUCAUUAGGUUCCUGGAAGGGUUAAAUGAGUGUGUAGCCCAUGGUACAUGCAAUGGAAGUGCUGCCUCUUAUUUGUGUGGCAUUCUGCAGUGACUGUCUCGUGUACUCUCAAUAGUGCUUAUAACUCUUACGGGUUCUGGAGCUAGCCACCUGGCCUCUGCUACCACUUCCUAGCAGGGCGGCAGAGCUUAGAGGGAGAUUUAAGGUGAGGAUGGUGAGGUUUAAGUCCUGGGUCCCUCAUUGGCAUGGCCUUGUACUUCAUUAUUUAAAGAGACCCCCCCGCCCUCAGUAUUGUAUAACCUUUACUGACAUCCUGCCAAGCCUGGAUCUGCCCCUGUGUGAGGAACUCUACCUCUCUGUGUGCCUCAGUUUUCUCAUCUGUUAAGUGGGAAGAAUGUUAAUUGUGCCAAAUAAAUGAAUUAAUACGUGUAGAAUGCUUUAAAAGUGCCUGGUGCAUAGUAAAUGCCCAAUACCUAUUGGCUUCUUAAGUAAAUCUCCAGUGGUAAAUGUGCUUAAGUGCUAGUAAACGUGUUAAAU
RNAcentral lists this long non-coding RNA (1830 nucleotides) under Homo sapiens (human). RNAcentral's name for it is "HSALNT0003162". Lineage: Eukaryota; Metazoa; Chordata; Mammalia; Primates; Hominidae. The record is from RNAcentral.